Molecule: ribosomal RNA, 1235 nt
Filed under: iron-reducing bacterium enrichment culture clone FeC_1_A6
Lineage: Bacteria
Description: bacterial SSU rRNA
Rfam family: Bacterial small subunit ribosomal RNA
Source: RNAcentral
GAGUUUGAUCCUGGCUCAGAUUGAACGCUGGCGGAAUGCUUUACACAUGCAAGUCGAACGGCAGCACGGGUGCUUGCACCUGGUGGCGAGUGGCGAACGGGUGAGUAAUGCGUCGGAACGUACCGAGUAAUGGGGGAUAACGCGGCGAAAGUCGCGCUAAUACCGCAUACGCCCUGAGGGGGAAAGUGGGGGAUCGCAAGACCUCACGUUAUUCGAGCGGCCGACGUCUGAUUAGCUAGUUGGUGGGGUAAAGGCCUACCAAGGCGACGAUCAGUAGCGGGUCUGAGAGGAUGAUCCGUCACACUGGGACUGAGACACGGCCCAGACUCCUACGGGAGGCAGCAGUGGGGAAUUUUGGACAAUGGGGGCAACCCUGAUCCAGCCAUUCCGCGUGAGUGAAGAAGGCCUUCGGGUUGUAAAGCUCUUUCAGCUGGAACGAAACGGUACGCUCUAACAUAGCGUGCUAAUGACGGUACCGGCAGAAGAAGCACCGGCUAACUACGUGCCAGCAGCCGCGGUAAUACGUAGGGUGCGAGCGUUAAUCGGAAUUACUGGGCGUAAAGCGUGCGCAGGCGGAUUGUUAAGCAAGACGUGAAAGCCCCGGGCUUAACCUGGGAAUGGCGUUUUGAACUGGCAGUCUAGAGUGCGUCAGAGGGGGGUGGAAUUCCACGUGUAGCAGUGAAAUGCGUAGAGAUGUGGAGGAACACCAAUGGCGAAGGCAGCCCCCUGGGAUGACACUGACGCUCAUGUACGAAAGCGUGGGUAGCAAACAGGAUUAGAUACCCUGGUAGUCCACGCCCUAAACGAUGUCAACUGGUUGUUGGGGGAGUGAAAUCCCUUAGUAACGAAGCUAACGCGUGAAGUUGACCGCCUGGGGAGUACGGUCGCAAGAUUAAAACUCAAAGGAAUUGACGGGGACCCGCACAAGCGGUGGAUGAUGUGGAUUAAUUCGAUGCAACGCGAAAAACCUUACCUACCCUUGACAUGUCCAGGAUCCUGCAGAGAUGCCGGGAGUGCCCGAAAGGGAAUUGGAACACAGGUGCUGCAUGGCUGUCGUCAGCUCGUGUCGUGAGAUGUUGGGUUAAGUCCCGCAACGAAGCGCAACCCUUAUCAUAGUGCUACGCAAGGCACUCUAAUGAGACUGCUGUGACAACCGAGAAGGUGGGAUGACGUCAGUCCUCAUCCCCUUAUGGUUAGGCCUUCACACCGUUCAUACAAUGGUUCGGGUUACGAAG